RNAcentral lists this ribosomal RNA (427 nucleotides) under uncultured bacterium. Its description in RNAcentral is "partial 16S ribosomal RNA". It matches the Rfam family "Bacterial small subunit ribosomal RNA", at positions 355 to 774 of the family's 1533-position model. The record is from RNAcentral.
UGGGGAAUAUUGCACAAUGGGCGCAAGCCUGAUGCAGCCAUGCCGCGUGUAUGAAGAAGGCCUUCGGGUUGUAAAGUACUUUCAGCGGGGAGGAAGGUGUUGUGGUUAAUAACCUCAGCAAUUGACGUUACCCGCAGAAGAAGCACCGGCUAACUCCGUGCCCGCAGCCGCGGUAAUACGGAGGGUGCAAGCGUUAAUCGGAAUUACUGGGCGUAAAGCGCACGCAGGCGGUCUGUCAAGUCGGAUGUGAAAUCCCCGGGCUCAACCUGGGAACUGCAUCCGAAACUGGCAGGCUUGAGUCUUGUAGAGGGGGGUAGAAUUCCAGGUGUAGCGGUGAAAUGCGUAGAGAUCUGGAGGAAUACCGGUGGCGAAGGCGGCCCCCUGGACAAAGACUGACGCUCAGGUGCGAAAGCGUGGGGAGCAAACA